UACCGGCGGCUCGAGUGGUGGCCACUAUUACUGGGCUUAAAGGGUCCGUAGCUUGAUAUGCAAGUCUCUUGAGAAAUCCGCCGGCUUAACUGGCGGGCGUUCAGGGGAAACUGCAUUUCUAGGGACCGGGAGAGGUGAGAGGUACUGCCGGGGUAGGAGUGAAAUCCUGUAAUCCCGGUGGGACCACCUAUAGCGAAGGCAUCUCACCAGAACGGGUCCGACAGUGAGGGACGAAAGCUGGGGGAGCAAACCG
This 253-nucleotide ribosomal RNA is filed under the name uncultured archaeon. RNAcentral describes it as "partial 16S ribosomal RNA". It matches the Rfam family "Archaeal small subunit ribosomal RNA", at positions 474 to 726 of the family's 1478-position model. The record is from RNAcentral.